This 9104-nucleotide long non-coding RNA is filed under the name Homo sapiens (human). RNAcentral describes it as "non-protein coding LINC00599:10". The stretch from base 2379 to 2451 matches the Rfam family "mir-124 microRNA precursor family". The record is from RNAcentral. Lineage: Eukaryota; Metazoa; Chordata; Mammalia; Primates; Hominidae.
AAACACCGCCACGGCCACCACAACAAAAGGCGCCUCCCCGAAGUAGGUCUGAUGUCCGCGGGACGGGUGGGCCCGUCGUGGAGCGCACUUCUGCGCCUCUAAUCUCGGGCGUCCAUCUGGCCCGGGCGCGCUGGAGGGCUCCGGGAGGGGCGGGGCCGCGCGCCUCCCAGGCGCGGGCACGCGCGCCGGCUCUCCUUCAUGUUCACCUUGACUGCGGGGGGGCGGGGGAUGGGGCGAUCGUCCCCCUCUCCCCGACUCCUCUCCCAACCCCCCGCAGCUGUCCUGCCCAGACGCCCGCCCAGGCGGGGUGGGGGAGGCUGCACCGGCGCUCAGGUCGCCGCAGCGGCCCGGCAGCCGCCGCAGUGAUGUCAACCGCAUCCGCCGCAGUCCCCGGCAGCCCUAAAACGCGCCGCGGCCCGCGGAAACCCCAGCCCGGCUCCUCCCGCCAGGGCCGAGGAGGAGAGGACGCGCGGGUCCCCGGAGUCCCCCACUCCGUCUGCCUAAGCCGUGGAGACCGGGAGUGGACGCACGGCGGUGCCUGGACCCCCGGGGAGGUGGAAGAAGAGGAGAGGGAAGGGAGCUGUGGAGUCAGGUGUCGAUUUGACGCCCGCGGCCGCCGAGGGGACUCUGCCCGGCACUGGUGCCGCCUGGGGGGCGUUCAGGGAGCGUGGGGCGCCGACCGCUGCAGAUGCGGCGGCGCGCGUGGGCUCGGGCAGGCGCCCCCUUUUCCCGGGAUAGAAACGGAUAAACGGAAGCGCGUGUGAGUGUGGGGGUGCGAAUCGCCACCUCCGGCCUUGGCUUUCCCGCUCUUCCGAGCUCUCCCACUUCUCACUUUCCCCAAAUCCGCAUUUUCCUUGGCACAGCUCUCCCCGAGCACGAAGGAGAGGGAGGUACCCGGGGGCAGUGAGAAUGACGUGUGCUGGUGCAGAGGGGGUGGGGGUCUGCGGGCCUGGAUCUGUGGACGGGCUCCUAAUCCUCUUGUUUUCGGAACCGUCAGCAGAUGCGGCUUCCUUUACCUGAAUAAUCCUUUAAAGGAGUAAUAAUUUUUAAAAAGGAGCUCGACCUCAGCCAAAGAGGACGGCGCACGAGAUUAGGGCUUGGUAAGGAAAAAUUAAAAGGCUCCCAAUUCUCUCUGUCCCUCUCUGCCUUCCCCUCUACCCCUCCCCCUCCCUCCUCCACCCUCCCCUCCCCUCCCCCUUCUUCCUCAUCCCCUGCAAUCCGCGCUCGACGCGAGUUCACGCGAAGGGCUGGAUUUCCAGGCGGCUCCGCAACUUGCGCGGCGCGGUGUUAUUAUUCAUCCGAGGGUGCUGCCUCCUCAACCUUUGCCUCCUGCGCCGCUCUCCUUCCCCCGGCCGCCGCCGCCAGCAGUGCAGUCCCUCCGGCACGCAUGCUCUGGUUCACCAAGAGGGAGACUGAUUUUUUUUAAAUCAUGCUCAUCAUCAUCAUCAUCAUCAUCAUCAUCAUCAUCACGUUCCUUAUCAUGGUUAUCAUUUCCUCCUGCCAGGUGGAGCGACCACCAGCGCCGGCUCGCCUCCUGCGCCUUCCCCAGCGAAGGCAGCAAGCAGUUCGGGCUUGGCCGUGGCGGCCGCUCCCAGGAUGCUUCCUGCACCUCCAGCAUCCCCCCCCUUAUUCAUCUGCCUGUGUAUUAUCUCGAUCCUUUUCAUUUCAGUAGAUCCACUGCCUUUGGUUGGGCCGGCUGAAUCGCUGGGGACUGCGGCCAGUCUCUUAAAAAAGGAGAACAAAAAGCCGAAGACCUUGUGUGGCCGCCGGGACAAAGCACCUUGGGUUCGGCGAGAAGGGACGCGCAGGAGCGCUGAACCCAGAACACGCGUGGCCGCUGCGGAAGGGCGUCCGCCCGGCGUGCGGAACGCUGAGGGGACUCUCAUCCUCUGUCUCGCCCCCUUUUUUUGACCCGGGGAUCCAGCCGCAUUAUACACGAGUGACCUUUUAAAUCUACGUCCACCCUUUACCUGCGAGAGGACUGCAGCAGGCGAGUUCCGGAAGGCUGAAUCCCCAGGUCCCAGCCCCGGACCGCGGCAACUCGCCCCUGCGGCACGCCCGGCCCGGCUGCGCCCCCACUCAGCGAUGGAGGAAAAAGCCUGGAUGCGAAAGGAUGGGGGAGAACAAAGAGCCUUUGGAAGACGUCGCUGUUAUCUCAUUGUCUGUGUGAUUGGGGGAGCUGCGGCGGGGAGGAUGCUGUGGUCCCUUCCUCCGGCGUUCCCCACCCCCAUCCCUCUCCCCGCUGUCAGUGCGCACGCACACGCGCCGCUUUUUAUUUCUUUUUCCUGGUUUUCUUAUUCCAUCUUCUACCCACCCCUCUUCCUUUCUUUCACCUUUCCUUCCUUCCUUCCUCCUUUCCUUCCUCAGGAGAAAGGCCUCUCUCUCCGUGUUCACAGCGGACCUUGAUUUAAAUGUCCAUACAAUUAAGGCACGCGGUGAAUGCCAAGAAUGGGGCUGGCUGAGCACCGUGGGUCGGCGAGGGCCCGCCAAGGAAGGAGCGACCGACCGAGCCAGGCGCCCUCCGCAGACCUCCGCGCAGCGGCCGCGGGCGCGAGGGGAGGGGUCUGGAGCUCCCUCCGGCUGCCUGUCCCGCACCGGAGCCCGUGGGGUGGGGAGGUGUGCAGCCUGUGACAGACAGGGGCUUAGAGAUGCAAACAGACUCAGGGAGAGAAACAGAAGCUGAUUCUGUGACAGAAGCAGAUCUGUGCAGCACAGAUGCGGUGUGCGUGGGGAGGGGGUCGCCUGGGAGCGCAUUGCGGAGUGCUUGUGUGUGCAGAUUUUUCUCUGGGCUCAGGACUCAUUGUAUGUGGGUCAACACCUUCCUCCGUGACUGUGUUUUUGUUCUGAGCUGAGUUUUUUGGUUUGCCCUUAAAAAAAUAAUAAUUUGGCAUCCAGAGACUGGCAGACUGCCUCAGGGCCUGGACUGCGGAUAUAUUGUGUUCUGCUUGAGGUUUGGGGAGGAGGGCAGGCGGUAGGAAGGGAGAGGGGGAGCUGUUUGUCACACUUUGCUGUAGAGCUGAGAGCACCUGACAAGCUUAAGGAAGUCGUUGGGCUAUGUGGACAAGAAGGAGCCAGCUCCCAGCGGGUUCACAAGCUCUAUCGGAGUUGAAAGCGUGGUCAUGGCUCUAAGGAGCACCUCACGCCCUCCCUGUAGCUGUUAUUGCAGUUUCAGGCAGAGAUCCAGGAGCUGCAGAGGAAGGGAGAGGCACAAUAACCUACAUGGACCCAAGGGAGACAUGUGUUCCUUUAAAAAUGUGAACAGAAGGAAAAACAGAAUGUGUGCAACUGGGGGUCUGAGGAAAGACUGUUUUGAAAGAGGCUGUCAGGGAAUGGAAAGGGUUAAGCUUUUCAUCCUGAAGAACCUGCUUCCCAAAUCAGGCCUUCCUCCCAUCACUAGACCCUGAGCAGCAGCUGGUCCUAGAGACCCCCCUCGUACUGCGCUGCCACAGUCUCAUCCCAUUUCCAGCUCUGUAUUAACCACCAAGCUGCAGCGGAUGGGGCAAGACCUAAGCUCAUUAAUUUCCAGGUGGAGGAAAUGGAGGAGGGGCAGGUCCCUGCAGUAGAGGGAGGAGCAGAGAAAGGAGGCCAAGAGCUGGAUCCUUCUGCCCAGGAAGCCUGCUGCAUCCCUUCCCCCGAGCAUGGCAGAGGCCUGGCUUUGCAAGGCCAAGGCCAUAAGGGAUGCUUAGGAGAUUAAUUUGAUUCCUGACACAAUAAUCAAGCCCUAAGAGUCUCCACUGAAGCUUACUGAGGACUUCUUUCCUCUCCAAAGCCUCAGUCUAGCCUGCUAAAUAAAUUAGUAUUCAGUGAUGCCUUGGAUCAGGGCCCCUCCCCGGCCUCAGUUUCCCCAAAUAUUUAUUAAGUACCUACUGUGUGCAAUCCUUGUGUAAUUAUUAACUCUUAGGCUCUUCAUUUGCCCUCCUAAAGCAGUGUUUAGAGUCAGGCAGAGGUUAAGUGUGUUGCACCUCACCUAGAUACUUCCAGAACCUUCUCUGGGUCUGCAGAAUGUGGCACAACCUGCUUGCCCCCGCAGAGAGAAAGCUGCAGUGCACAUCCUGCAGACUGCAGGUGCUGGGCUGCCUCUGGAGUCCCAGAAGGCAAGCUUGGCUGCAGGACAGAAAGGGAGAACAGCUUCUCUCACCCCUGAGCCUUCACAAGCCCUUGUCUAUUUGCCGUUGCCUUCAAAAUAUACCUCCCCCGAAACCAGUAGCUUUCUGAGUCCUGGUGUCCCCUCCGCCCUUUCUGGACAGGUUUGGGAAGAAGAAAGCAGUCAGUGCUGGGCCUUAUUGGGGUGUGAAGCGCCUUGCUCUGCCCCUUCUGCUCACUGUGAAGGCCGCUGGAUGCUUCUCUUAGGCAUGGUUUAAGCCUCCGAUUACUAAACCCCUUGCCCCACAAACGUCCACAUUGACGAGCCUCUUUUUAGUAACUGCUUCCCCGUAAUUCCUUCAGAGGUUGCUGUACCCUUCGCUGAUGUGCUGCCCUCCUGUAAAACCUCCAGAUGCCUUCCCACGUAAUGCCCCUUUCAGAUGCUUUAAGCUGAGAGCUUAAACCACAGGUACCAUGGCUGACGCCUGCCAGGUUUCUGCUGCAGAUAAUCUAUGAUGGGAGGGGCAUAUUUUUUACUUCAUUACUUAUGUAAACUCUUGUUCCAGAAAGCUUUAAUGUGUGUGGGAGUGUUCUGGGUCUAUUAGGUCUGUGCGCAUGGGUGUGGGCAUUUGCCUGUGUCCACCGGGUGGGUCUCAUUAUGAAAUGUAUGUUUAUGUAGGGCUUUAAUGGCUGAAAAUGGCAAAGAGAUGAAUAGACCACUUGGCCCCAUGUGUAAUUGCCAGGCCCCUUCUGUGCUCAAAUGAGGUGUCCGAGUGAAGGUCAGCCCUUCCCUUCUGUAUUUGGGGCCUAUUUAUGCCACCAGUAAUUUUAUAAGAAAUCUGAAUAGUUCUCCCCUUUGAGUGCAUUUAACUCUUUAGUAUCUUCUCUCUUACCUAUUUGAGCCCCUCUAGCUACAGUCUGGCUUAAAUGAAAGGGGAAUUAUAUGCUUAAGAAAAAGUAGGACACGGUUGAGGCAGUUUGCUGACUGAAUACGCGAAGAAGGACCUGAUGGGCUCAUAUGCACCACUGCCAUCACAGUCCCCAUCGUGAUGCAAGCUUAUAUGAUUCUUGAGAAACAGCCCAGAUCUCCUCUUAAGCGGAAAAGAGAUUGACCUUCUAGCAGAGGCAAAGGUAAACUCCUGUAAGUUACUUCUGUUACCAAAGGGAGGGGGGCGGCUUUUGUGAAUGUAUGAGGAGCUUUUGCCAGAGAGAUAUUCGGAGGAGGGGUGUGCCCAUAUGCACACAUAUAUUUUCCCGCAUAACCGUAUCCAAUGCUAGCAUUUAGAGGAAGGCAUUUAGCCACCAAAAGUCCAUCCAUCUAUGCUGCUUCCACAGAGAAAACAUUUUCUCUUUCCUCCUCUUGAACUUACAUAAUAUCCUCCUCCCAUUCCAACCUUAGAAUGGAGUCUUCUGGGGGCAGCUGCAAAGCGUUCUCCCUAGGACAGAUGGAGCCUCCCUUUCCUCAUCUACUCUGUGGGUGGUUUCAGGGCCCACGAGUCAACAUGAGGAGUUGUGCUGGUGGUAUGUGUGUUGGAGGCUGGGCUGGCUGAUUCACAGUGACGAGGAUGUCAAUAAUAACAAGAAUGAGAAUGAUGGUACCUAAUAAAGACUUUUUUUCCCAAGUCCCAUCUACAAUUCUUUCAUUGGGUGUUUUGCCAAGUCUUUCUCAAUCUCAUCUCAGCUUUUUUUUUUUUUUUAAAGAAAAUGUAUUCAAUACUUAAUUGCAUCACAAAUGUAGACAUAGAAGAAAGGACUUCAAACGGAAUUUAUGGGAGGCAAUGUGUGCGGCUUUUUGCCUUAUAGAGCUGUGUAGAAGGUCUGGAAUGAUCUUCCAGCACCAAAUUUAGAUGGCCUCAAAAAAAAAAAAAAAAAAAAAAAAAUCAGGCCUUAUUGAGGGCAAGGAAUGUUCCAGGUCAGAAAUAAAAGUGUCAGCAACUCUCAAUAGGUUCAUCUUUUUAUUUCCUGUCCUUCUCCCUUUUGUCUUAAAAUAGAAACGCUACCAAGACCUGAGGGCCUGGGUCAGGGGCCGGGAAGCCCAGAAAACAAACUUCCAGAAUCACUAAGGGCUUUCUCUCUCAAAAUUACAGUGGGAGGGUUCUUUUGAAAUUCAAAUCCAACCUAUUUGUUGCUUAAGCACACACAAAAUACUGAGACCUGGGGUCCAAGAGGCAAUACUUCCGCUGCAAGUGCAUGUUGCAACUUCGCGUGAUGUUCCCAGGGCGGUUCUGCGGCAACUUGCGGCUCCGCGACUGUGGGCGCGGGCCCCAUUUCGGGCCCCGUCGGCCGGGACCGCGCCCAGGGCUUCUCAAGUGACUCGCUUCCCAGCACGCAAGAGGCAUUCUCGUCUCUUUCUCUUCGAAUGCACCCGAGACUUCUCCAUGAAGCAAGGAGAAGAUGAGCAGGCGCUGGUUUCCCUUUUCUUUUUUGCUCCCAUUUCCCAGUCUUGAUUUUUUUUUUCCCUUUCUCUCUCUCUCCCGAAUCAUGCAGACCUGGAACUCCUAAGAUUCGGGUCCUCCUGCAGUUCCCAAAGCUUUGGAUCCAUCCGAGGUGUGGGUAGAUGCGGGUUAGUCUCAGGGUCUUUCUAGGAUGAGCCCCAAGCCCAAGUUCUAAGGCGAGGGGGAGGCGAAGAGGUCAGGGCUACAAACGCCAGGGACUGUCCCCGGAGAGGUCAUUUUUCCAUUUUCCAUGCACAUCGAUUUCACUCUAGCGCCAGAUGGACACUCGACGGUCAACGUUAGAGAUUUUUCCGGAGUCGGGGGCAGGAAGCGGGACGAAUUGAGACGAGGGUACAUCCUUUGCUUCCAAGGGUGGCCGAGCCAGACCGAAGGCCUGGGCGGGAGGUCACGUCCUCCCCUGGCCACCCACAGCGCUCCCCAGCCGCAGGCCUGGGCCUAGAAGCCGCGCCCUCCCGGCCGUGCAGCCGGUCAGCCUGUGCGCCCGGCGCCCGCAGUGCGGCUCCGGGCCUCUCUCUGAUCCACUUCAGUACCUGCGGCCUCGAGGACCCCACCGUGCAUCCCGGAAAGCCUCAGAACUUGCAAGAAAGAGGGGCUGGCAGGUGCAGCCUGGGAAGAGGACCCCGCCGCGAAAGCGCUUGGGGGUUGGGUUUUAUUUGCUGGAGUGGGGGGUCCGUCUCAGUGCAUCCUCCUGGAUUCCCCAUUAGGACGCCCCGCCCAUACAUCCAGCCUCCUCUCCCGGAUACCCCCAGUGACCCGGCCAGGGAGCGGGCAUCUUCCCCCAGGACCCAGAGACGUGUCCUCGCCAUCCCCAAACACCGUCCUUCCCCACCCCCGCAACCCUCUCCACAGAAGCCAAAACCACAACAAAAAUCUUCAACCCACAAAGAAAAAGACACAUUCCUCCUUCGGCCUUAGUCAGCGUUAGUUCCAGAUCCGAAGCCGGAGGGGACGGAGCCGCUCGAAGUCGGUUGGAAGGAAGGCGCAGAAGGCUCUUUCUGUCUCCAUGAAUCUCCUUGCAAAUGCAACCGCUGCUGCCAUUAGGACGCGGUCUCUGUUUGCAAAAAAAACUCAAUUCCUUCCAUUUCCUCAUCUGUUGGGUCCAUCAGCGUGCAGUGAGUGAUGCAAGGUCCCUUUGGGUCAACAGGCCGUCCCCUGAAAUAACUUUCAGAGCCCUGGCCUCAAGGUCAUGGGCCGGGUGGCCUCUACAGGCCACAGGUCAGGACCAGGAUGUGCCUGACUGAGGCUGUGCCACCGAGAGCUUCGGACGUGCAGAAAGGUGCCCUGAGCUGCACGGGGGGCUUCUGUCAGCCCCCUCCCACUCUACACAGAUUGAUGUGGCAAUAUUUAUUCCCAUUUAAUUGAGACACUGGUUUAAUUUCAGAUUGCUUCGGCUUAAGGCCCAAUGGGGUUUUCUGCAGCUCUUUUCCCCAGUGCCUCUACAGAAAUUAAUUGCUGUUAAUAUCCAAUUUUGGCUUUAUUAUUCGUUAGCCAAUUAUGUAUCCCAUAGCCCAGGCCCCUUGCUGCUCUCAGCCUUUGCUGGAAUCAGCUCACACUAUGCCGGGCUUCUGCUUUUCUGCCUUCCCCUCUAUUCAAACUCUGUCCUCCCAAGAUGAUUUACCGGCCCGUCAGGCAUUUUGCUUGUGUCCCAGCGCUAGCUGAGCUGGCGGAGGUGUCUUUAAGACGUUUUCCCCCUUUUGAGGGAAAUGUCUUCUUUGCAGUGGACAUAAUUUCCAUUUAAAAAGGAAUCUAAGCUUCUCCACUCUCGCUUCACUAUCCUAAGAUUUGCUUUCUCUGGAGCCAUUUUUGGAGAGCAGUUUUCCAUCAAAAGCAAGCAAGGUGCCCCGGCAUCAGGGCUCCCCUCCCCACCUCCCUAGGAGCCCCUCCGAGACUGUCUUAAAGCCACCACAUAUACAUAACACCAUAGAUUCAAACAGGGUGCUUGGAGGAUGUCAUUCCACAUUUCAAGGAGGGAAACUUGAAAAAGCACUAUUUUCAGAGAUGAGGAGGGCAGCUCUCCCCUCGUCCCCCACAGAGGCCCUGGAAACCAUUCCAGCCUUGCACUGCGCAACCCUGCUUGAUGGAGCUGAUGCAACUGGGGGCGAGAGCCUUUAAAAAGUGUUCUUUUGCCUUGGUUUUUUGUGCCUUGAGUUCACAGAAGCAAACACUUCCCAUCACUGGUGCUCUGGAAACAGAAACAUACAAGUGAGAAUCCUAACGACAGCAGAGGCCCUUCUUUGUCUGCUUCCUCUCCUUCCCCCCUUGGAAAGAAUGCCUCCCAUGCCUUAAUGUGCCCUCACACUUAUCUCUAGCAGUUCCGUAACAACCUGCGCAGUGUCGGCAUCAGAACCGAAUGCAGAGAAAACAAAACGUCAGAGCCGCUGGCUUGGACUGCGGCCCCUACAGAUGAAGCCCGAGCCUUCUACUCCUACCUCAGCAUCUUGCCGCCUUCAUGUGGACAAUUAAUCAACAGCAACAGCAUAGUGUGAAGUAGAGAUAGAGUCUUGAUAUGUUCCCCAGGCUGCUCUGGAAUUCUUGGACUCAAGCAAUCCUCCUGACUUGGCCUCC